GGAUAGGGGUGAAAGGCCAAUCAAACCCGGAGAUAUCUCGUUCUCCCCGAAAUAGCUUUAGGGCUAGCGUCGCGCGUUCACCGCCGGAGGUAGAGCACCGGAUGGACGAGGGGGCUUCGCCGCCUACCGAAUCCAACCGAACUCCGAAUGCCGGCGGCCCAGAGCGCGGCAGUCAGAGCAUGUGGGCUAAGCUGUGUGCUCGAGAGGGAAACAGCCCGGACCGCCCGCUAAGGUCCCCAAGUUCCAGCCGAGUGGCAAAGGAUGUGCGUCCGCCCAGACAACCAGGAUGUUGGCUUAGAAGCAGCCAUCCAUUCAAAGAGUGCGUAACAGCUCACUGGUCGAGUGGACAUGCGCCGACAAUACACGGGGCUAAGCUGGACACCGAAGCGGCGGGAUUUUAUCUAUAGAAUCGGUAGGGGAGCUUCCCAUGGGCGGAGAAGCCGGAGGGCGACCGACGGUGGAGCGCAUGGGAGUGAGAAUGCUGGCAUGAGUAGCGAGAGACGAGAGAGUAACUCGUCCGCCGUGAACCCGAGGUUUCCUGGGCAAGGCUAAUCCUCCCAGGGUCAGUCGGGGGCUAAGGCGAGGCCGGGAGGCGUAGCCGACGCGCAGCAGGCAGACAUUCCUGCACCGCGCACGCGGCGCUACGACCGACGGGGCGACGGAUGGGGGUGGCUCGGCGGGGUUCUGGACGUCCCCGUGAUGGAGCGCGGCCCGCGGACCAGGGAAAUCCGGUCCGCAUCGAGGGCGAGGCUCCGGACGAAGCACUUAAGCGAAGCGAGUGAGCCCGAGGUCCCUAGAAAAACCCCUAGGCAGGCGCGUGCGCGCCCGUACCGCAAACCGACACAGGUGGGUGGGUAGAACAUACCGAGGCGAUCGGGUCAACCAUGGUCAAGGAACUCGGCACAAUGGCCCCGUAACUUCGGGAGAAGGGGUGCCCGCGCGUACGUGAACGGACUUGCUCCGGGAGCGGAGGCGGGCCGCAGUGGAGAGGCCCAAGCGACUGUUUACCAAAAACACAGGACUCUGCAGAAGCCGCAAGGCGACGUAUAGGGUCUGACGCCUGCCCGGUGCCGGAAGGUCACGCGGAGGAGUUAGCCGCAAGGCGAAGCCCCGAAGCCAAGCCCCGGUAAACGGCGGCCGUAACUAUAACGGUCCUAAGGUAGCGAAAUUCCUUGUCGGGUAAGUUCCGACCUGCACGAAAGGCGCAACGACUUGGGCGCUGUCUCGACCAUGGACCCGGUGAAAUUGCACUGGUCGUGAAGAUGCGACUUACCCGCGGAAGGACGGAAAGACCCCGUGAACCUUCACUGCAGCUUGGCAUUGGCCGCUGGUCCCGCGUGUAGAGGAUAGGCAGGAGGCGAAGAUCCGGAGGCGCCAGCCCCCGGGGAGCCGCCCUUGGAAUACUGCCCUCGCGCGACCGGCGUCCUAACCCGAGGCCGUCAACCGGCUCGGGGACCGUGCCAGGCGGGCAGUUUGACUGGGGCGGUCGCCUCCUAAAGGGUAACGGAGGCGCGCGAAGGUCCGCUCGGGACGGUCGGCAACCGUCCUUUUGAAUGCAAGAGUACAAGCGGGCUUGACUGCGAGGCCCACAAGCCGAGCAGGUGCGAAAGCAGGCUCUAGUGAUCCGGCGGCCCCGAGUGGGUGGGCCGUCGCUCAACGGAUAAAAGGUACUCCGGGGAUAACAGGCUGAUCUUGCCCAAGAGUCCACAUCGACGGCAAGGUUUGGCACCUCGAUGUCGGCUCAUCGCAUCCUGGGGCCGGAGCAGGUCCCAAGGGUACGGCUGUUCGCCGUUUAAAGCGGUACGCGAGCUGGGUUCAGAACGUCGUGAGACAGUUCGGUCCCUAUCCUCCGUGGGCG
Molecule: ribosomal RNA, 1858 nt
Filed under: human gut metagenome
Description: bacterial LSU rRNA
Rfam family: Bacterial large subunit ribosomal RNA
Source: RNAcentral